Non-coding RNA from Paramuricea clavata, 104 nucleotides. The record is from the annotation of a GenBank genome assembly. NCBI's taxonomy places the organism in Eukaryota, Metazoa, Cnidaria, Anthozoa, Malacalcyonacea, Plexauridae.
UACUGCAUGCAUCGACAUAUCGAUACAUACCUUGAUAAAAUCUAACAAGAUAAUAUCUUGUUAGAUUUUAUCAAGGUAUGUAUCGAUAUGUCGAUGCAUGCAGU